RNAcentral lists this long non-coding RNA (2082 nucleotides) under Zostera marina. RNAcentral's name for it is "long non-coding RNA (ZMAR_LNC002382)". The record is from RNAcentral. Lineage: Eukaryota; Viridiplantae; Streptophyta; Magnoliopsida; Alismatales; Zosteraceae.
UUGGUGCAUAUUGAAGGUAGGCGAUUUCUCUCUCCCUAUUCCUCUCUUUCUUUUAUGUUGGUUGGUGGUAGGGUUCUCAUGAAUGAUUAUAUUGUCGAUCCUUAGGUUAAGCUAGGCUCUUGAGGAUCUAGGAGAAAGAAGAUAAAUCCAAAAAGAAGGUACGGAUUCUCUUACGUACCCUAAGCAGGUGGUUAGACCUUUACUCUAAUUAACACAUAUUUUCAUAUAUUGUUCUUGUUUUAUUUUCGAAAUAAUUUUCUAUGAUUGUAUGAUUUAGAAUAAGUUGUGUACUUGAAUCAUAAAAUCUGAAGAAGAAAAAGAAACAACUCUAAUUAGAACAUAUAGGAUCAUCAAGUUUAUUUGCACGUAUUCAUUAAGUUUAUUAUUUCAAGCAUGAAAUAUAUUACAAUGAUUAUAUGACUUCUAAUUUUGAUAUUUUUGUAUGAAUUAAAACCCAAAUAUGAAAAUCGAUCCUUAGGUUAUGAUUAUUAGGUUUAUGUUAAUAUAUAUGUUUCUAAGGUUUUAACUUAGUUUAUAUCUUUUUGUCUUUAAAUCGAUUGCUAUGAUUUUUGUUAUGACUAAGAGUUAUGAUAAGGUUAUAUGAAUUAAAUCAUUAAUUAUGGAAAUCCAUCUCUAGGUUAUGCAUAAUUAGAGUUAACUAGUAAUUCGAAGUGAAGAAAAUAAGAGAAAAUAUUUAAGAUGUAAUUGAUUUAAAAAUCAAACCAAUCUUAAACUUGUAGAAAUUGCAUGUCUUAAGAUUCACUCAUGAAAAGUAGGUAAUUGCAUGUAUAGGUCCAUCAAUUAAAUUGGGGUUUCUUAUGUUACUUUAAAAUCUUGGUAUAAGUGUAAAUGAACUUCUUUAAAAUAUUUACGAAUUUUAUUCCUUAAUUCGUUAGAGUUCUGAUUAAAAAUAAAAAUUUAUAUACAUGAAUCUAACAAGGGAUACGGGUAAAUUAUAAGAGAAUAAGUAAAGAAAUUACACAGUAAAAUAUAAGAGAAUAAGUAAUAGAAUUACCAUCUGCGCUCAUAGGAUCUAAUUCCGACCUAAGUUAAGAGAGUGGGUGAGGAUGAGACUUAGGUUGAAUCAAGGAUUUCACUAGGCGUAUCAUCUUAAGGUUCUUCUGGGUUCGCACUCACUUAGCUAGUACGUUGGGAAUGAAUGGACCAGGAACAUGAUCGACCUGAAUCCAUGAUUGGGAGUUCGGACCUCGAUAUGAACGAGGCGAACCAUAUUGAGACCAACGAGUAAAGAAUGGAACUGGAAAAGUAAAAAUCUGAUGGAUUAUCAACUUCGGGGAGUCUAAGUUAUUGUGCCCCUUUGGGGAGUCUGAUCGGUUAUUGUGCCAUUCGGGGAGUCUAAGCUAUUGUGCCCAUCGGGGAUUCUGAGCUAUUGUGCCCUUUGGGGAAUCUGAGUUAUUGUCCAUUCGAGGAAUCUAAAUAUUUGUUCCCUUCGGGGAGUUUGAAUGAUUGUGCCCCGACGAGGCAGUCUGGUCGGGUGAACCCAUGGAGGACCUCAGUUUAAUAUGGAUAAUUAGGAAUGCCCUUUGGGUAGUUGGAAUGGGCGAACCCAUGAGGGAACGAGUCUGAGCCUGACGAGGCGAAUGGCCCGACGGGGCAGUUUGGUCGGAUCACUCCUCUGGGAUGAUUCGAGUCUAGUCGAGAUUGUGUUCUGCACAUGAUCGAGUCUAGGGAAUGGUGAAAGUCAUUCCCAAGAGGGGGUUUGGAACCCUAUACGUCCGGAUGAACGAUCACUACAACACACUCAGAGGAGAACAUGGGUAAUGACUAAAGGGAAUAUAUUUGAAAGAAAAAAAUGAAACAUGUAAAACGUCGAGACAUCCGUACUGAGUUGAAUGAUAACUCAUAUUCGUUCUUGUUUUAAAUUGCAGAUUGAGGGGCACUAGCGCAGGCGUCUCGUAAAUGGUUUACCUGGGAGUUCAUUGUUUUCGCAUUUUGUGUUUUAUGAGAUUUAUAUUAUGAACCCUAAUCUAUGUAAUAAAAUCUUUUAGCCAAUGUUUUAAUAAUAAAUGAAUAAUUUUAAUCUAUGAAAUUACGGGAUGUCACACUGGACGUACAUUCUGG